Molecule: ribosomal RNA, 584 nt
Filed under: Williopsis saturnus
Lineage: Eukaryota; Fungi; Ascomycota; Saccharomycetes; Phaffomycetales; Wickerhamomycetaceae
Description: eukaryotic LSU rRNA
Rfam family: Eukaryotic large subunit ribosomal RNA
Source: RNAcentral
GGAGGAAAAGAAACCAACAGGGAUUGCCUCAGUAACGGCGAGUGAAGCGGCAAAAGCUCAAAUUUGAAAUCUGGUACCUUUGGUGCCCGAGUUGUAAUUUGAAGAUAGUUUUCUGGUGCUGGCCCUUGUCUAUGUUCCUUGGAACAGGACGUCACAGAGGGUGAGAAUCCCGUCUGGCGGGGUGUCCAGUGCUUUGUAGAUUUCUAUCGACGAGUCGAGUUGUUUGGGAAUGCAGCUCUAAGUGGGUGGUAAAUUCCAUCUAAAGCUAAAUAUUGGCGAGAGACCGAUAGCGAACAAGUACAGUGAUGGAAAGAUGAAAAGAACUUUGAAAAGAGAGUGAAAAAGUACGUGAAAUUGUUGAAAGGGAAGGGUAUUAGAUCAGACUUGGUGUUUUGUGAUUAUCUUCCCUUCUUGGGUUGUGCACUCGCAUUUCACUGGGCCAGCAUCGGUUCGGGUGGUAAGAUAAUGACAUUGGAACGUGGCACUGCCUUCGGGUGGUGUGUUAUAGCCCUUGUUGAUGUUGCCUACCUGGACCGAGGACUGCGGCUUUUGCCUAGGAUGCUGGCGUAAUGAUCUAACACCGC